Molecule: ribosomal RNA, 293 nt
Filed under: uncultured prokaryote
Description: partial 16S ribosomal RNA
Rfam family: Archaeal small subunit ribosomal RNA
Source: RNAcentral
CACCGGCAGCUCUAGUGGUAACAAUUUUUAUUGGGCCCUAAAGCGUCCGUAGCCGGUUUAAUAAGCCUCUGGUGAAAUCCUGCAGCUUAACUGUGGGAAUUGCUGGAGAUACUAUUAGACUUGAGACCGGGAGAGGUUAGAGGUACUCCCAGGGUAGAGGUGAAAUUCUGUAAUCCUGGGAGGACCGCCUGUUGCGAAGGCGUCUAACUGGAACGGUUCUGACGGUGAGGGACGAAAGUUAGGGGCGCGAACCGGAUUAGAUACCCGGGUAGUCCCUGAGCGGGCUGGCAAGG